Molecule: ribosomal RNA, 468 nt
Filed under: uncultured bacterium
Lineage: Bacteria
Description: partial 16S ribosomal RNA
Rfam family: Bacterial small subunit ribosomal RNA
Source: RNAcentral
GACGAACGCUGGCGGCGUGCUUAGCACAUGCAAGUCGAACGGAAAGGCCCUGCUUUUGUGGGGUGCUCGAGUGGCGAACGGGUGAGUAACACGUGAGUAACCUGCCCUUGACUUUGGGAUAACUUCAGGAAACUGGGGCUAAUACCGGAUAGGAGCUCCUGCUGCAUGGUGGGGGUUGGAAAGUUUCGGCGGUUGGGGAUGGACUCGCGGCUUAUCAGCUUGUUGGUGGGGUAGUGGCUUACCAAGGCUUUGACGGGUAGCCGGCCUGAGAGGGUGACCGGCCACAUUGGGACUGAGAUACGGCCCAGACUCCUACGGGAGGCAGCAGUGGGGAAUAUUGCACAAUGGGCGGAAGCCUGAUGCAGCAACGCCGCGUGCGGGAUGACGGCCUUCGGGUUGUAAACCGCUUUCGCCUGUGACGAAGCGUGAGUGACGGUAAUGGGUAAAGAAGCACCGGCUAACUACGUG